UACAGGGGGGGCAAGCGUUGUUCGGAAUCACUGGGCGUAAAGGGUGCGUAGGCGGCGCGGAAAGUCAGGGGUGAAAUCCCGGAGCUCAACUCCGGAACUGCCUUUGAUACUCCCGCGCUUGAGAACUGGAGGGGAGACCGGAAUUCACGGGUGGAGCAGUGAAAUGCGUGGAUAUCGUGAGGAACACUAGUGGCGAAGGCGGGUCUCUGGACAGUAUCUGACGCUGAGGCACGAAGGCCAGGGGAGCGAACGGG
Molecule: ribosomal RNA, 254 nt
Filed under: uncultured bacterium
Lineage: Bacteria
Description: partial 16S ribosomal RNA
Rfam family: Bacterial small subunit ribosomal RNA
Source: RNAcentral